Molecule: long non-coding RNA, 9560 nt
Filed under: Marmota monax (woodchuck)
Lineage: Eukaryota; Metazoa; Chordata; Mammalia; Rodentia; Sciuridae
Source: RNAcentral
UAUCAGCUGAGCACCUUGGCCCAAGAGAGGAAACGGAAGGCACUGAGGCAGUCCACAGCCCAGCCACAGUGUCCUCAGAUGGGCAGCUCAGGCCUGGUGGAGGGGUGUGGCCGCAGGUGGGAUGCAGCCGUGUUCAGCCCUGUGAGCAGGUAUGGGAUGAAGGGCUGCCCAGGGUGGGGCUAUAAGAUGGGAGGAGUCGGGGUGACAGCAGCAGCUGCUGCUGCAAGUGGCCAGGCAAGUGGGGAGAUGGUACAAAUAGGAGAAUAGCCCCAUAGAGGCCCUGAGCAGGUAGGCAGUCGAGAUGAGAGGUCAGGAGGUGGAGAAAAGCAGAACACAAUGACGGGCAAAAGAGCAAGUACCCGCGGGCCAGGUGGUACUAGAACAGGAAGGAGGAAGAGGGGGAAAUGGGCAGGUUUUGGUGGAGAAGUGAGACUCCAGCCAUCUGCAAACUGCCUGGUGAGGCCAGGAGUGUGACAGGGACAGGAAGGAGCGCUCACUCCUUUUGCCAGCAUCUGUGUCUUGAGGGGUCAGUCUGAGUCACAAGGAUCCACCAUAAUGUUGGAAAGAGGGACUGUCCCAUGAAUGUGGCCUGAGCAGCCAUGGCAAGGAGCAUCACAGGGUAGGGAGGUAGGCACUCAUACGAGUGGGACAUGGAAAUAUCCCAGUGCCCAAGCCACAGCCUGGCCCCAUCAGAUCUCUAGGGCAGACCCAGGCAUGCGUGGUUUCAAAGCUCCCUGGGACAUACGAAGGUUGCUGUGGGGCCCAUAGAUGUGGAGUGGUCCCUACUGUCAGGUGGGCUACAGGGAGGCUGCAGGGAGAAUUCUCUGGAGAGUUCUCAGCUAGGAGGACCCUCAGACAGCAUGGUUUGUCAAGUGGUAGUUGUCCCCAUACCUGGGUCAGAGGUGGCAUGCAGUUAUAUGCACUUCUUGAGCUCUGGGUCUGGAGAUUUAAGCUGUAUUCCAGGCCCUCUACAGACCUGUGGGAUCCUUUUCUGCUUGUCUAUGGAUCAUUUUUAUUUUAAGCUCCUUGAGAGACAUCCAUGCUCUGCUGGUUUCUGGCAACCCUGAUGUAGACCAAGAAAGAGAGCUCAGGACACAACCUCGAGGAGAGGAUCAGGAGGGUAGGCCAGGGCCUCACACAGGGUGAUCUCCCUCAUCACCCAUCCUGGGCAGCCACUGCCCUCAAGGGCCAGCUUCUCCACUUCAGGGCCCCACCUGGCUCCUUGACAGGAACAGACUCUGAGCCCAGCACAGGGCUUUGUAUGGUCUCUGAGUCCCCACACUUCCUGAUUCUCCAUGCCCCCCCCACCCCGCCCCCGCCCCAAGUAUAGUGAGAGGGCAACAUCUCCAAGACCACACUUCCAAUGAGCUCAGGUUUGGGAUUCACUCUUUCAUGAGGAUUUGCUUAUAUUUUUUUGAGGAUGUGCUUACUGACUUGAGUGCUAAUGGAUCUUUUUAACUUGCUCUUUGAGAAUUAGAACAACAGAGUGAUCGGGUUUUUGUGUUUGUGGAAUUGCUUCUUUUAUCUUACACCAAGUCAGAACCCAUAUGAGACAGUUCACCUGUGAAUUCCUCUGGGUAUCUUUUAGCAAGUGGAUGCAGGAGCCACAUUUUUGGAUUGCCACUAAAGUAUCAAUUUUAAAAAAAUAUAAACAGUAAACAGUGUGUUGUGUUGUAUUGUGUUGGCUUGGUUUUUGGAAGUGUGGUCCAAGAACCAUCCAAAUCAGAAUCACUCAGCGAUUAACAAUGCAAAUCCCUAGGGCCCCUCCAGACCAAAUAAUCAGAAGCUCUGCAGCUGGAGCCUGAUUCUGCACCCUAAAGCUCCCUAGUGAUUCCUGUGCACAUCAAAGUUUAAGAACCCUACUUAUCCUUCAACUGAGAGAGAGGGGGAGAGGGAGAGACUAGUUGGUUGUGUGUUAAAGAGAUUGGGCACAGAGGCUGACAGAUACUUAGGACCAAGAUGUCUCUUCCUGUACCCAAUCCCAUUCCCAUAAGCACUGCCCCUUCUGUGUCCUUUUGCAUGUGGACAUCCUGUGUAGUCUGUGUGCCAUCACUGAGCUCGCGCACACUAUGGGCACCUUGGCUUGUGAUACCUCCAAAUUGUCACCAGAGGGCACCAGAGCAUCUCCAAAAACCUCUCAAGGCUCCCUUGUUCUUGCUCUCCAUUUCCAUGGCAGACAGUUCACUCUCCACAACUAGGAUCCCAAUCUGUCCCCACUUCACUGUCACUGAUUCUCAAAGGACACUGCAGCUCGUCAGAGUGAACAGCUGCUAAGAAAAGCAUUAACUAAUCGUGAAUCCUGAGGAAUCUACCUUAUGCUUCUAAGACUGAUUUCUCCUCCUAAAAAAGAAUUAUCACAGACCUAUCACUGGAGUUCUUUUCAAAGUGAAAUGAGAUAAUAGAGGAAAACCUCCUCGACCAUAUCCUGGUUAUUAUUCUACCAUCAGGAAGUGAUGUAAAUUGCUAGAAAACCAGAAGCCUUGAAAUGCAAAAAUAAUUUUUUUUAAUUUUAUUAUUAACAAAUCAAAAUUCAGUCAUGGCUGUCUUUCACACAUAUAUUCCAAAAUUUUUCCACCCUUUUUAUAAUUUUUGGUCUCUGCCUGUAUUUUCCACGUAGCACAGUUCAAAACUCUGCUGGUGAGCAGAAAAGCAUGGUUAAAAAAGAGGAAUUGCCUCCAGCAGGCCAGGCCAGCUCCUCAGCUCACACCCGAGCCACCUGACUCUCUUUCUUAAGGCUAGGGGGUUUAUUUUUAAAACAGGUGUAACUCAAAUUUUGUUCCCUAAUUCAUUGUGCUGUACACAGCAUUGCAACAAUUUAUUCUGUGAAGAUAAUUAUAAUAGGAACUCUGAUGGCAGAGGAUGAUGUGGAGGUGGAGUAGAUGGAGUUGGUGGUGGUGGAAGUGGUGGAGGUGACAAUGGUGGAGGUAGUAAUGGUGAAGUCGGUGGUUUUGGUGGUGGUGGUGGUGGUGGGUAGGUGAUGGUGAAGCUGGUGUAGUAUUGGUGGAGGUAAUUGGUGAGGGUGGAGGUGUUGGUAGCAUUGAUGGGGGUUGAUGGAGGUGGUGGUAGACUCUCUUACUUAGCAUCCUUCAGAAGUUUCUCUUGCCUGAAGGAUCAAGCUCAUGUUCAUGACCCAGCUCCUGCUUACUUCUUCACUCUUACUUCUCAUCAGCCACACACACACACACACACACACACACAGUCUCUCUCUCUAACACACACAAAGUUCUUCCAUACUUGAAAAUCUCUGAGCCUCCAUCCCAAUGCAGAAUUUUAUUCUGUUUUCAUUCAUUGCUGCUCUGACCACUUCUUUUCUUCAGUCUUCAGAGCCCAUUCAGUAUUCAGAUCCCAGUUUCAAUGUCACUAUCAUUUUUUGCAUUCUUCAAUACUUCGGUGGCAUUUGGGGAUACCUCAUCUGUAAUUUCUCUGGUGUGGCUUGUAAGAAAUUCAUGGGGUCUCUCUGCCUGCCAGAGGUGGCCUUUCAAUUGGUCUCUCCAAAGGCCCAUUUAGACUGAUCCAAGAACCCUAGCCAGUUCCCGUGCAGACCCUGCAGUCCCGCCAUUGCAGUCUUACAAACACGUUGUGAGAUCGGGUGACAGAGUAGUGUGUGCUCUAGGCUCAGACAACCUAUCACAAGUCUUUUUGUUUCACUUUGUUUUGUUACAUCUUAUUAAACUAACAUCUUCCUAGAAAAGUUAACUAAUCAUCAGCGUGUCACUUAGUCAAUGAAUUUUGCAUAAAUAAACACACCCAUGUAACCAGCACCCAGCUCAAGCAAGAGAAUAUCACUAGCAUUCAGAAGCCCCUCAACAGUUUUAUUUUUAAAAAAGUAGGUUUAAACUUAUGAUGUAAAUAUGAGCUGCCACAUUUCAAAUAUGUGAGUAGAUAGUAGCUUUUUCAAAGAUCUAUUAAAAGUUUCAGAAGCCAAAAUGCUUCCGAGGAAGUCGCUUUGGGGAUCUGGAUACACAGUGUUCCUUUCCAAAGCAACACCCAAGCCCUUAGCUAACCUGGAGCUCCUGCGGGGGAGAGAGCCAGGUACACACACUACUUGAGUGAAAGGACCAACGAUGUUUGGAGAACACCACGUUAACUGUAAGGACAUUCCGAAGAGGUUCAGGGAAUGAGAUGGGAACACCUACAUGGUUGCCUGCCAACUCCAACAUGUCUCUCUAUGAGGGACAUCACAGGUACCAUCUCACCAAUUCCCUUGAGUGGGUCACCCCAUUUGAAAGCAAAGUAAGCUGAGGAAAGACAACAGACUUGUGUCAAAUCCACAGAUUAUGAUGUUCAAAAGCCCCUUAGAAACAGGAUUUCAGUCAUCUGGCAUCUUAUAAAGAACAGCAUAGGCAAAAACCCUGGGUGGAAGAGAGGACAGCUCCUCAGGCACUUCCAUCCCAGGGGCCCUGACACCCCUGUGCAACGUCCCCCCUAGGAGAAUGAGAGUUAAGGAUGGAGGGGCAGGGUAGCACCUUCUUCCGGAAGCAGGGUCCUGGAAACCAGGUGGAGGGGCUUUAAUGCAGGGUUUUGUGCCUUAUCCCUACUGCCCUUCCCUGCAUGAUGGCUGGGAGUUCAAGGUGGGGACCUUGCCCUUCUUGUAUAAGUGCAUACGUUUUCUUCUGUAUUUCUAAGGACGCCUUGAUGUUUCACAAGGAUAUUUCGCAGUCCUCCUGCGCUGGAAAUGUACUGGCUCUGUUCCUGACACAUUCCUAUGGCCCCCAGCGUCACACAGGUGUUUGGGACAGCACCUGACCUCCUAAUCUGAUGGGCUUACAAGGAAAGGUCAAGCCCCACAGCUCACACAAGCUGCAGGACAAGUCUGUGGCGCUCAGUGUGUGCACAAGGAUUCCAGAACAUUCCCUUUAUCUCAAGAGGCCCUUGUACCCCGAGCAGUAUACUCCCAGGUUAACUCCCAGGCCCUGUCGAGCUGCCUGGAGGCCUCACUCUGCUCUGCCCUUUGCAACUGCUGAGGGAGUCACCACGUCCCCUGGAGGUGCAGCAGGACUGGCGCCCUCACAAUGAACCUCAUCAGCCCUGGACAGGUCACCUCGCCAACCCUUGGCUUCCUUGGCUUCUAAAAGGAAUAUGAUGCCACCUGAAGGGUUGAAGGAGCAUCUGCCCCCAUCUCAUCAAAAGUACAAGCUCUAAAGGACCCUCCAUGGCCAGCAGAGCUGAGCAGAGGGACCUGGUAUGAGGGUAGCUGAAUAAGCCUCCGGGGAAUGGCUCUGCUUCCUCAUCCUCCUCCUGCCUCUGACAGCUCCCCUGCUGUCCCAGAAGACCCUCCCUGGCCUCAUCUUCCCUGUCCCAUCUUUGUCAACAAUGCCCAAGAUUCUUUCCCAGACUAGAGACCCACAACUCCAACACCAUCCUGGGUAUUUCCAGACAUCUCAAACGCAUGUCACAAAAUAGACUCCCACCCACCUCUUCUCUAUGCCAUAUUGUGACUUUAAACUUUUCAUGACGUAUACAGACUCACCUUAAAGUGCACAUGCACAAACUGAAACACCCAGGGCACCAGCACCCAGAUGAAGAAACAAACAUUGGUGGCACCCCAGAAGUCCCCUGUGCCCCUUCCAGUAGGGACCAAAAUCCUGACUUCUGUCAGUUUAGCCCAGUUUUAAACUUGGUAUAAAUGGCAUCAUUUAGUCAUACCCUCCUGUCACUAGCUUCUUUCACUCAACACUGUGAGAUUGACCCCCAGCCUUGGGAGGAGUUGCAUGUGAUUCGUUCUCUUGCAGGGUGAGGGUCUCACUAGUUGUCUACUCUAGUGAAGGGCAAUUGAGCUGCUCUCCAUUUGGGGCCACUUGGGUACUGCUGUAAUGGAACAUUGUUGUGAAUGUCCACAAUUUAUUGCUUAAGUGUACAUCACCUGGCAGCAUUUAAGAGAGUCUGACCUAUACAUGGUAAGAUGGGAAACUGGGGAGGAGUCAUGAAGGAAUAUGGCCUCCAGCCAAGGGAAGAUGCUGAACCCAGGCAGCAUGGCUCACAGCCUGCAGCCAGGCUCUACAGAGGAGGAACUGGCCAUACCUCAACCCCAGUCCCUGGGAACUCCAGGCCUCCUAUAUUUGGGUUGGCCUGGGUUUGCAGCUGAGGUUGGAACCAUCCUAGAUUGUCCACAAGGAGCCCUGUAGAAACAGGCUUCCUUUCUGCUUGCCAACCUCACAGUGGCCCAUGUGUCCCCAGAACUGGCCAAUCUACAUGCCUAGAGAGGCUCAGCCCUCCCCAGUUGCUAUAUAGCCCUAGAGGGCGGCCGAAGCUUCCCUGGAGGGCUGGCUGAUGGCUGUUUUGUGCCUGAGGAUGGUUGACCUGCAACAAGAGCCGAUGACCAAAGGCCAUCCAUGCACGUUGCAGAUGGCAGAGGCAUUGUCCCCUGGACUACCUGUCUAGUCGUAAUGCUAGAGUGCUGGACUGAGAGCCAUGAAAAUAUACCCCUACCCCUUUGCUACCCCCAAGACACACAUGCCUUAUUUCAGUACAAUUCAAGAACUCAUCCUAGCCCUUCAAGUCCUCAGAGUGACAGUCAUUCACUCAUAUAGUCACCCAUAGACUCGGCAUACAGUUAUUGAGAAUCUUUGUGAGCCAGAUACUGAUCCUGAAACUGGAUUAAGUAAUGAAAAAAAACCAGCCCAGACUCUGCCCUCAGGAAGCCUGCAGGCUGGUGAGCAAGCUCGGUUGUGGCAAAUAAGCUCCCCCGUUUUGCAUCCUACCAGGUACCUGUGUCACUCUGGGUGAUGCAAGCCUAUAGUUGCAGCUCUGGCCUGAAGAUUGACCUUCUCUCAGACAGAGAGAUUUCCUUUGGAAAGUGUAGUCAAGUGUCCAUGAGUGUAAUGUAAGCUACAGAAAGUACAGUUUCACACAGGUAGGAUAUUUUUUUUUGGAGGGGAGGGGUAACUUUUAGCCAAAGGAAUUGUAUGCUGGGGUGUGGUGGGAAGGAAUCACUGCAGGACCCCUGGGUUUAUAAGGUCAAGGAAUCCAAAAUGCAGACCCAAAGAGUGCAGGGGAGGGGCACAAGGCAAAUGCAUAGGGAAGAUCCCAAAGCCUUUUUAGGGUUGGCCCUGCAGGACAGGAGACAUCAGUCCUAUGGAGGGCAGGCUGCAGAGGUUUCUGGCUGGAUGGUAGGCACUGGUGCCAGGCCCAGGCCUGGAGGGAGCCCUGCCCUCUGCAAGUGCACAUAAGCCUCUUGUGACUGUGAUGAUCUCUCUUGGUGACUGACAGCCGGGAGGCAUCCACCAAGCCUGUGUGAAGCAAUGGGGCAUCAAGCAGAGGGUGGGGCAGACUAAGCUAAUGGAGCCUAAUGGGAGGAAGGGGUGACAGGCUUCGCCUAGAGCAGCACUUUCCCCAGGCACAGCCCAGCUUGUGACAACACGCUCCCUGCUGCCAGCUGGAACACGACCGUGACUCUCUUGGGCUCACCAUGGCAUCUCCAACCAAGACGCUGGAAUCUGUGAACUGUCACCACUCCAGGAGGCUGACUGCAUUCCUUCUUUCCAAGUCUCAAGGAGAAAGAUGUCCUAGGGGGGCGCCUCCCAAAUGUAAGGUGCACACAAAUCCCCUGGCGCUUAAGACAGCUCGGGACUCGGGUGGUCUGAGUGGGACUGAGAUUCUCAUUUCUCACAAGUUCUAGAGUGUGCAAAGCUACCUGUGAGUAGACCACACUUUGAGUAGCAAGAGUUGAACAUUACCAGAAGGGAAGAAACCAAACUGUCACCUCGGUUUGGGGCGGGGUGGGGGGGUUGGAUCUAGCACCUGGUUGUACAGGCAGUUUUUAAAGUACAGAUAACUGAUUUCUUGAGCAGUCUGCUUCAUGAGAUGCAAAUAAAAUACGGGUUUUUAAGUCAUUCUCUUUCAACAAUCAGAAAGCUUCUUUUUUUUUUUUUUUUUGAGUAAUGGAACUGAGAUGAUGGCACCAUUGUUAGAAAUAGGGAAGCCAUUUAAAGAAGAAUGAAAUUAUGGCAUUUGUCAGUCAAUGGACGGAGUUGGAGAAUGUCAUGCUAAGCAAAAUAAGCCAAUCCCAAAAAAAAACAAAGGCCAAAUGUUUUCUCUAACAUGCGGAUGCUAAUUCACAAUGGAGGCCCAGCACUAGAGAAGAAUAGCAUUACCUGAGAUUAGGUAGAGGGAAGUGAAGGGAGGGGAGGGGAGGGGAUGUGGAGAUGGAAAGAUAGUAGAAUGAAACAGACAUUAUUACUGUAUGUAUAUAUGUGACUACAUGACCAAUGUGACUCUACAACAUGUACACUCAGAAAAAUGAGAAAUUAUAUCCUAUCUAUGUAUGAUAUAUCAAAGUUCAUAAAUGCAUUCUACUGUCAUGUAUAGCUAAUUAAAACAAAUAAAAAAUUUCAAAAUUAAAAAACCCUCAAAAAAAGAAAGAAAGAAGGAAGCCAGAGACAGAUGGUUUAAAGGUAAAUAAUAAUAAAAACCACCUUUGCUUCAAUGCCAAUCAUGUGCUAUGAUCUUGUUUCAUCUUUUUAUUUGGUAAAUUAACCUUCAUUCAUUUUAUGGUAAAAUUAACUUCCCUUAUGCUGUUAUUCCUCACUAUAAUUUGAACCUUAUCUGUCAAACUCCAAAAUCCAUCUGAUCCCCCUGUGACACACUUCCUUGUGGUGGGUGAGGAAUCAGGGUUAGGUGGAUUCAGUGUAGUAGUUCUCAACCUUGCCUGUGCAUUAGAAUCACCAAAAAGUCUUCUGAAACCCCUACACCUCAAACUAACUCCAUAAGACUCUCUAGGGGAGGAACUCUUCAUCAGCAUUUUUUAAAGCUCCCCAGAUAUUUCCAAUAUGCAGACAAGCCUAAGAGUCACUGAUUCAGCCCAACUCUUCCUCUAAUAAGUGAGGCAGUUUGUUAAGCUAGUAGGUGAAGUGCCAAUUCCAUCAGAGUCCAAGCCAGUAGACAGAUCUCCAUUCCUACCCCCAAUAAACCAAUAACCAGCUGACCAUAAAUGAUGCUGUAGGAUGAAGUAGAACAGGAGGGGAAGGAGGUGGAAUCUUGCCAAGGGAAAACAAGGGGAGAAGACUGAGAAUUCAAGCCAGCGCACAUUUAGAGCUGAGAAGAUUCAGAAAGAUAGAGAAGUUCAAACGACUUAAAUCCUUGGAAUGAAGAACAAUAUCUUACUCAACUAAGAACCUUAUUUUUUGACAUACAUUCAACAAUGGCCAGAUGGGUGAUUGAAUCCAAUGGACCAAAAUAUUGAGAAUCCAGGUGGAAGAGAGAAAUGGGGUUCAUGUUGGUACUGAGGAAGGGGACAAUGACAGAAGAGACUUUACCUGGUAUGCAGCAUCCAGAGCGGCAAAAAAGCAUGUGGCCAUCAUGGGAAAACAGGUUUGGGGAUUUUGUUUUGAGGCUUGGGAUUAUUUUAAACUAAUAAGACAAAAUAUACCAGGUAGAGAGAUAAAUGAAGCAAUCCAUUUGAAGCAAAAAUGUGGAGGCUCUGCUAGGGACCUCAGUCCAUCAUCUCUGUCCAACUGAGCUGAGAGGCUGAGGCUGCCACCCUCUCCUCCAACAGAAAUCUCAGAUUAUAAAAUGAGCAAAGCUCUGGGAACCCAACCUACCACCAAAGCUUUCUUCAGGCA